GGCGAACGCUGGCGGCGUGCCUAAUACAUGCAAGUAGAACGCUGAAGGAGGAGCUUGCUUCUCUGGAUGAGUUGCGAACGGGUGAGUAACGCGUAGGUAACCUGCCUGGUAGCGGGGGAUAACUAUUGGAAACGAUAGCUAAUACCGCAUAAGAGUAGAUGUCGCAUGACAUUUGCUUAAAGGGUGCAAUUGCAUCACUACCAGAUGGACCUGCGUUGUAUUAGCUAGUUGGUGAGGUAACGGCUCACCAAGGCAACGAUACAUAGCCGACCUGAGAGGGGGAUCGGCCACACUGGGACUGAGACACGGCCCAGACUCCUACGGGAGGCAGCAGUAGGGAAUCUUCGGCAAUGGACGGAAGUCUGACCGAGCAACGCCGCGUGAGUGAAGAAGGUUUUCGGAUCGUAAAGCUCUGUUGUAAGAGAAGAACGAGUGUGAGAGUGGAAAGUUCACACUGUGACGGUAUCUUACCAGAAAGGGACGGCUAACUACGUG
This 495-nucleotide ribosomal RNA is filed under the name uncultured bacterium. Its description in RNAcentral is "partial 16S ribosomal RNA". It matches the Rfam family "Bacterial small subunit ribosomal RNA", at positions 28 to 507 of the family's 1533-position model. The record is from RNAcentral.